RNAcentral lists this ribosomal RNA (408 nucleotides) under Salmonella enterica subsp. enterica serovar Dublin. RNAcentral describes it as "partial 23S ribosomal RNA". It matches the Rfam family "Bacterial large subunit ribosomal RNA", at positions 161 to 601 of the family's 2925-position model. The record is from RNAcentral. Lineage: Bacteria; Pseudomonadati; Pseudomonadota; Gammaproteobacteria; Enterobacterales; Enterobacteriaceae.
AAUCCAUAGGUUAAUGAGGCGAACCGGGGGAACUGAAACAUCUAAGUACCCCGAGGAAAAGAAAUCAACCGAGAUUCCCCCAGUAGCGGCGAGCGAACGGGGAGGAGCCCAGAGCCUGAAUCAGCAUGUGUGUUAGUGGAAGCGUCUGGAAAGGCGCGCGAUACAGGGUGACAGCCCCGUACACAAAAGCGCAUGUGCUGUGAGCUCGAUGAGUAGGGCGGGACACGUGGUAUCCUGUCUGAAUAUGGGGGGACCAUCCUCCAAGGCUAAAUACUCCUGACUGACCGAUAGUGAACCAGUACCGUGAGGGAAAGGCGAAAAGAACCCCGGCGAGGGGAGUGAAAAAGAACCUGAAACCGUGUACGUACAAGCAGUGGGAGCCCCACCACUAAGCCAGUGGUGAACUCC